AAACCAGCCCGCAAGCCCCCUGGGGAUAGAUGUCUGGGAAGAGCAAGGCGCUAUUUCCGUAUCUUUAGCCGCCAAGUCCUCCUCGCCCAAUGUGGGGUUUCCUGGGGGUGAGAAUAAUCACCCCCCAGCUUGCGGGUUGUGAACGUUCGAAAGAAUAUGGUUUGAGUGGCGUGGAGCAAGCGCUCCGGCAAUUGGGAAUCCGCGUGGGAUCAGCGCCCAGACGCCGCCGCCCUAGCCCUUGCGGUGGCAAGGCUGCGUGGAAGCCCACUCCCCGGCCCCGCGCCACAUUUCCUUCUGGCGCUGGGGAACAUUGUUCCAGAAAACGUGGGCUGAAUCGCGGUGCGAAUAUUAGGGGCGGGAGGAGAAGGCCCGGCGCGCCGAGCCAGUAAUCCGAGCUCUUGAUUAUCCAGAUUCGGAUCAAACGGGGCGGCGGCGGCCGGCCCCCUCCUGGGAAUGAUUAGAUGAUUAAUGUAAUGCUGUUUGAAGGGUCUCUGUUUUCUCUCUUAAUUUGGGUCAUUACUUAGAAAGCAAGCGUGAGAUCAUUUCAUCAGCGUGCUCGGCGGCGGAGAUAGCUAUUCAGGAAAUGGGCUAACUGAGCGGUAAUCAGGACGCUGGGGGCGGCGGCGGCUGCGAGCCGCAGGAGCCCGGAUGCGCCCUCCCGCGGCAGGGCGCACCGCACCCGGAGGCCGGCCUCAGACCACAGCGCGGGCCGCGGAGCCCUAAAGCUCGGAAUGCGCUGGGACACUUGGCCCCCAGUUCUCGCCGCCAGGAAUGACUGAGUGGAAGAGUGGCUCCCCUUACAUCACCCAGACAAGAGGGAAUGCCCAGAAAGCGCCCCGGCGCGGCAGUGCCCAUGCCAUCUACCCCACUGUGGUGGGGCUCUUUGCUCUAGGACACGCAUCCCAAACCUGCUCUCCAACACCUAGCCACUUUGAAUCCCUUCUUUUUAAAAAACUCACCCAAAUAUGGCAACACCCAGAAUCCCUUGGUCAGAACAGUUAGCAAAUAAAAACUUGGUACAACGUGAGGGCCGUUGUAGGCCUUUACAUC
Bos taurus (domestic cattle) is the source of this 1050-nucleotide long non-coding RNA. The record is from Ensembl. Lineage: Eukaryota; Metazoa; Chordata; Mammalia; Artiodactyla; Bovidae.